UACGGAGGGGACUAGCAUUGUUCGGAAUUACUGGGCGUAAAGCGCACGUAGGCGGAUUUGUAAGUCAGGGGUGAAAUCCCGGGGCUCAACCUCGGAACUGCCUUUGAUACUGCAAAUCUCGAGUCCGGAAGAGGUGAGUGGAAUUCCUAGUGUAGAGGUGAAAUUCGUAGAUAUUAGGAAGAACACCAGUGGCGAAGGCGGCUCACUGGUCCGGUACUGACGCUGAGGUGCGAAAGCGUGGGGAGCAAACAGG
Molecule: ribosomal RNA, 253 nt
Filed under: uncultured bacterium
Lineage: Bacteria
Description: partial 16S ribosomal RNA
Rfam family: Bacterial small subunit ribosomal RNA
Source: RNAcentral